GUUUUUAUAGCUCAGUUGGUUAGAAUACCCAUUUGGUAAGCGGGAGGUCUUGAGUUCGAAUCUCAAUGAAACCA
This is a non-coding RNA of Nelumbo nucifera (sacred lotus), 74 nucleotides long. Lineage: Eukaryota; Viridiplantae; Streptophyta; Magnoliopsida; Proteales; Nelumbonaceae. The record is from Rfam.